This 119-nucleotide ribosomal RNA is filed under the name Cephalotus follicularis. The record is from RNAcentral. Lineage: Eukaryota; Viridiplantae; Streptophyta; Magnoliopsida; Oxalidales; Cephalotaceae.
GAGUAUGAUCAUACCAACACUAAUGCAGCGGAUCCUAUUAGAACUCCACAGUUAAGCGUGCUUGGGCAAGAGUAGUAUUAGAAUGGAUGACCUCCUGGGAAGUUCUCGUGUUGCACCCC